RNAcentral lists this unclassified non-coding RNA (655 nucleotides) under Hevea brasiliensis (rubber tree). Lineage: Eukaryota; Viridiplantae; Streptophyta; Magnoliopsida; Malpighiales; Euphorbiaceae. The record is from RNAcentral.
AUUUGUUUCAUUAGGCGCAAGUCCAACUUUGGUCAUCUGGCCAUUUUCUCUCUUAGAUACAACAGAAGAUGUGACAUUCAUCAGCUCUUCUCUAGUCGAAGUAAGUUCAGCUGCAAUUCUGGAGUAUUCUCUGGCUCGUUCUUGCAAAGUUAUUUCGAGUUUUUCCUUCUCUUCCUUGCAACACUCUAGACUUAGCAGAGCACACUCCAAUUCUGCCUUUAUUCUGUCAUGAUCUUUCACUAUUUCACGCUUAUCAGAAAGCAGAGACUGUAACUCAGAUUCCAAAGACAAGAUUUUGAGAGCUAGGUCUUCAUUUUUCCUCAAGUGCAAAGCUUCAGAUCUCUUCCUGCUUUCGAUUUCAUCUAAUGCAUCCUGUAACUUCAGAAGCAUAUCUUCUCCGUGCUUUUUGGAGAUAGAAACUUGUUGCUUCAACUCUUGGAAUUUUGAUUCAUAUUGCUCUUUUAUAAAGACUAUUCGUAAGGAUUCUUGCAUAGCUACUGGUGGUCCUUCAGAUUCUCUUUUCUCGCGAACCUGGAGACAUUCUGCAUCAGCCUUAUCCUUGAGCUCCUUCAAAUGGAUGGAUAAGUUUUUGAACUCUUCCGUCUUCAAGGCUUGCUCAGAGAGUUUGUGAGUAAGCUCAUUACACUUGUGGGUG